GAACUGAAGAGUUUGAUCAUGGCUCAGAUUGAACGCUGGCGGCAGGCCUAACACAUGCAAGUCGAGCGGAUGACGGGAGCUUGCUCCUUGAUUCAGCGGCGGACGGGUGAGUAAUGCCUAGGAAUCUGCCUGGUAGUGGGGGACAACGUUUCGAAAGGAACGCUAAUACCGCAUAC
Molecule: ribosomal RNA, 176 nt
Filed under: Streptococcus pneumoniae
Lineage: Bacteria; Bacillati; Bacillota; Bacilli; Lactobacillales; Streptococcaceae
Description: partial 16S ribosomal RNA
Rfam family: Bacterial small subunit ribosomal RNA
Source: RNAcentral